This 604-nucleotide ribosomal RNA is filed under the name uncultured bacterium. RNAcentral's name for it is "bacterial SSU rRNA". It matches the Rfam family "Bacterial small subunit ribosomal RNA", at positions 338 to 956 of the family's 1533-position model. The record is from RNAcentral.
CCUACGGGAGGCAGCAGUGGGGAAUCUUGCGCAAUGGGCGAAAGCCUGACGCAGCAACGCCGCGUGCGGGAAGAAGGCUUUCGGGCUGUAAACCGCUUUCAGCAGGAACGAAAAUGACGGUACCUGCAGAAGAAGGAGCGGCCAACUAUGUGCCAGCAGCCGCGGUGAUACAUAGGCUUCAAGCGUUGUCCGGAUUUAUUGGGCGUAAAGAGUUCGUAGGCGGUCGAGUAAGUCGGGUGUGAAAAUUCUGGGCUCAACCCAGAGACGCCACCCGAUACUGCUUGACUUGAGUUCGAUAGGGGAGUGGGGAAUUCCUAGUGUAGCGGUGAAAUGCGCAGAUAUUAGGAGGAACACCGGUGGCGAAGGCGCCACUCUGGAUCGAUACUGACGUUGAGGAACGAAAGCAUGGGUAGCAAACAGGAUUAGAUACCCUGGUAGUCCAUGCCGUAAACGGUGGGCACUAGGUGUGGGUUUCUAUUAACGAAAUCCGCGCCGUCGCUAACGCAUUAAGUGCCCCGCCUGGGGNGGUACGGUCGCGAGACGUAAACGUUAAAGUAGUAGUAGUAACGUGUGAGAGUCGACGACGACGACGACGGAGGAGGAG